AGAGCAGUGGCGCAGUGGGUUAACGCCCUGGCCUGAUGUGCCAGCAUCCCACAUGGGCACCGGUUCUAGUCCUGGCUGCUCCU
Molecule: transfer RNA, 83 nt
Filed under: Oryctolagus cuniculus (rabbit)
Lineage: Eukaryota; Metazoa; Chordata; Mammalia; Lagomorpha; Leporidae
Rfam family: tRNA
About the family: Transfer RNA (tRNA) molecules are approximately 80 nucleotides in length. Their secondary structure includes four short double-helical elements and three loops (D, anti-codon, and T loops).
Source: Rfam by way of RNAcentral